CCCAAGCUUGUGAACAUUUUGCAUCCCAAAGAGUUUUAGCCUUCUUGCCUCUUCCGAUACACCUAAAGUGCAUCCUGAGGCACAUUGCUUCCUUGAAAAAUCUCAGCCAGAUUUGUGAUGUAAAAGGACAAUUAAGGAAUACAUGAUCAACACUCUCUUCCCUGCCUUGCAUAGGAUGCAACAUUGAGGAUUUUGAUGAAGCUGUUGCUUUUGAAUAUUGUUACAAGAAUUUAAUUUCCCAUGAGCCACCCACCAAGUUGUAAAGAAUCAAUCAACCCCUCGUCAAUCUGACAAGACUCCAUCAAGAAGAUUGCUUCAGGUCAUUGGUUCUCAUGGCAAAAAGAGCAAAGCAAAUGAAAGCAAGUGCAAAGCUCACAAAAUGACAAAGUAAAAUGGUGCACUUGUGAUUGUUGUUUUAUUUCAAGUGUGGUUAUAAUUUUCAAUACUUGAAAAUGACAACACAUUUAUUUUCAUUUUAGUGUUUGUAUUUGCAUAUGGUAUGAUGACUCAAUAGAUAUGUUUAACUAUAUUUUUCAUUAAUUAAUGUUAA
Molecule: long non-coding RNA, 550 nt
Organism: Rosa chinensis
Lineage: Eukaryota; Viridiplantae; Streptophyta; Magnoliopsida; Rosales; Rosaceae
Exons: 3
Source: RefSeq, a predicted model, not a curated record